Molecule: ribosomal RNA, 501 nt
Filed under: uncultured bacterium
Lineage: Bacteria
Description: partial 16S ribosomal RNA
Rfam family: Bacterial small subunit ribosomal RNA
Source: RNAcentral
AUUGAACGCUGGCGGCAGGCUUAACACAUGCAAGUCGAGCAGAGCGAGGGUGCUUGCACCUUAGCUUAGCGGCGGACGGGUGAGUAAUGCUUAGGAAUCUGCCUAUUAGUGGGGGACAACAUUCCGAAAGGAAUGCUAAUACCGCAUACGCCCUACGGGGGAAAGCAGGGGAUCUUCGGACCUUGCGCUAAUAGAUGAGCCUAAGUCGGAUUAGCUAGGUGGUGGGGUAAAGGCCUACCAAGGCGACGAUCUGUAGCGGGUCUGAGAGGAUGAUCCGCCACACUGGGACUGAGACACGGCCCAGACUCCUACGGGAGGCAGCAGUGGGGAAUAUUGGACAAUGGGCGGAAGCCUGAUCCAGCCAUGCCGCGUGUGUGAAGAAGGCCUUUUGGUUGUAAAGCACUCUAAGCGAGGAGGAGGCUACUUAGAUUAAUACUCUGGGAUAGUGGACGUUACUCGCAGAAUAAGCACCGGCUAACUCUGUGCCAGCAGCCGCCGUAA